UUAAUGGAGAGUUUGAUCCUGGCUCAGGACGAACGCUGGCGGCGUGCCUAAUACAUGCAAGUCGAGCGGG
Molecule: ribosomal RNA, 70 nt
Filed under: Paenibacillus polymyxa
Lineage: Bacteria; Bacillati; Bacillota; Bacilli; Caryophanales; Paenibacillaceae
Description: partial 16S ribosomal RNA
Rfam family: Bacterial small subunit ribosomal RNA
Source: RNAcentral